RNAcentral lists this ribosomal RNA (119 nucleotides) under Pteropus alecto (black flying fox). RNAcentral also lists the same sequence under 1 other name. The record is from RNAcentral. Lineage: Eukaryota; Metazoa; Chordata; Mammalia; Chiroptera; Pteropodidae.
GUCUAUGGCCAUGCCACCCUGAACAAGCCUGAUCCCAUCUGAUCUCAGAAGCUAAGCAGGGUCUGGCCUGGUUAGUAUUUGGAUGGGAGACCACCUAGGAAGACCAGGUGCUGUAGGCA